Molecule: unclassified non-coding RNA, 403 nt
Filed under: Senecio reclinatus
Lineage: Eukaryota; Viridiplantae; Streptophyta; Magnoliopsida; Asterales; Asteraceae
Description: partial external transcribed spacer
Rfam family: Eukaryotic small subunit ribosomal RNA (bases 353-403)
Source: RNAcentral
GCUUACCUCCUCGUUUAUGCGUCAUGACUUGUAUCGUCUUGAGCGUAUUGUGGGUUUCCUGUGUUGCAUACCUGACUGAUGGUAUCGUUUGGUUGAUCGAAGUCCCUUUUCGUCUUGUGUUGCCUUUGCGAAGCAUGACGGACCUCGAAGCAGUCUCUAUGUUCCACCAUGUUGAUGCUAGUGUUUCGAUGUUGUGGCCCAUUGAGUUUGCUUGGUCUUGUGGAUACAGAACAUGAUUUGGGCAUAGGGUCACUUGUGACUCUUGUUUUGUCCUUUACCAGUGUUCUUUAUAACGACGGUUCAUGCGCGCCUAGGCUCGUACCUGCGUGAUGUUCUUGUCGAAGAGGAAUGCUACCUGGUUGAUCCUGCCAGUAGUCAUAUGCUUGUCUCAAAGAUUAAGCCA